RNAcentral lists this ribosomal RNA (634 nucleotides) under uncultured bacterium. RNAcentral describes it as "bacterial SSU rRNA". It matches the Rfam family "Bacterial small subunit ribosomal RNA", at positions 65 to 731 of the family's 1533-position model. The record is from RNAcentral.
AGCGCUGUAGCAAUACAGAGCGGCGCACGGGUGAGGAACACGUGGGAACGUACCCAACGGUUUGGGAUAACUCAGGGAAACUUGAGCUAAUACCGAAUACGCCCCUCUUUGGUGACAUUGAUGGGGAAAGAUUUAUCGCCGAUGGAGCGGCCCGCGUCCGAUUAGCUUGUUGGUGAGGUAAAAGCUCACCAAGGCGACGAUCGGUAGCUAGUUUGAGAGAACGAUCAGCCACACUGGGACUGAGACACGGCCCAGACUCCUACGGGAGGCAGCAGUGGGGAAUCUUGGACAAUGGGGGCAACCCUGAUCCAGCCAUGCCGCGUGAGUGAUGAAGGCCCUAGGGUUGUAAAACUCUUUCGGCGGGGACGAUAAUGACGGUACCCGCAGAAGAAGCUCCGGCUAACUUCGUGCCAGCAGCCGCGGUAAUACGAAGGGGGCUAGCGUUGUUCGGAAUUACUGGGCGUAAAGCGCGCGCAGGCGGUUUUCCAAGUCAGAGGUGAAAGCCCAGAGCUCAACUCUGGAACUGCCUUUGAAACUGGAAAACUAGGGUACGGGAGAGGUGAGUGGAAUUCCGAGUGUAGAGGUGAAAUUCGUAGAUAUUCGGAAGAACACCAGUGGCGAAGGCGGCUCACUG